UACGAAGGGGGCUAGCGUUUCUCGGAAUCACUGGGCGUAAAGGGCGCGUAGGCGGCGUUUUAAGUCGGGGGUGAAAGCCUGUGGCUCAACCACAGCAUGGCCUUCGAUACUGGGACGCUUGAGUAUGGUAGAGGUUGGUGGAACUGCGAGUGUAGAGGUGAAAUUCGUAGAUAUUCGCAAGAACACCGGUGGCGAAGGCGGCCAACUGGACCAUCACUGACGCUGAGGCGCGAAAGCGUGGGGAGCAAACAGG
This 253-nucleotide ribosomal RNA is filed under the name uncultured bacterium. RNAcentral's name for it is "partial 16S ribosomal RNA". It matches the Rfam family "Bacterial small subunit ribosomal RNA", at positions 524 to 776 of the family's 1533-position model. The record is from RNAcentral.